Molecule: long non-coding RNA, 1200 nt
Organism: Rhineura floridana
Lineage: Eukaryota; Metazoa; Chordata; Lepidosauria; Squamata; Rhineuridae
Exons: 3
Source: RefSeq, a predicted model, not a curated record
CGGGACGUUAAGCCUCCAGAUCCUCUCGGACCGUAGCUGGGCAGACAUUGCAAGUCAGGAGGGUGAGAAUUGGAAAAGGAGGUUAACCAUCCCGCACUUUUAUGCCUUCCGCAGCCCGAGCCGACCCAUACUUAUUCGGAAAUCUUACAUCAGUUCCAUGGACCCUGUAAUCCGAUCCCUUCUGACUCACUAGCCCUGAGUGACAUUUCUGAUUCGGUUCAACAACAACAAAAAGAGGAAAGAAAAGAAGGGAAAGAAAAACAUUCAACGCUCAUACUCACGUGUUCGAAAAGUUGUCUGUUUGCUGCUUCCUUUGCCGCCGCCGCCUCCCGUCCAAGUUUUACAGAUGUUGCGGGGCUGUCCUGCUCCUAACACCGCUACCCCCCUCCCUCCCUCCCCCCGCCUUCUCCUCCCCCUUUCGGUUAGUAGGGGAGGGGAGACAGUCUACCCGGGAGAGAGCGAUUUCGCUGCUCUCGAGUCCGGUAGAGCAGUGGCUCGCUCAACUUUUUUGUGUGUAUCUCCACGUGUGGGAGGAAGAAAAAGAAAUCCCUCCCCCCUCUAUUACAUUUCGAGUUGCUGAUCACUUCUCUGUCGGGGAGGUCUCCUCUGCUUGCAGGGAGGGAGACCAAGCGCUUUAGCACUUCUGAACUCUUUCAUUUAAAAAGUAAAAAAGGCGGGACGGAGGAAUGGCGGGAAUCUGAAAGGCGUGAGCCACUCGGGUGGUUAGGCCCCAGUUGUCCUCGCACUUGGGAACGGAAUGAAGCAGAAUAGAGGGGCUGGGGCUAGAGGGCUGUUUCUUUCUCACACACGCAGACUUUUCCUUUCUCUGCCUCCACUUUUCCCUUACCAAGGCUUGCACUGAGAAGCCACUCCCACAGCUGGGAGGAACAACGAGAGAAGUUAGAUGCCCUCUGUCAGACGGGUUUCCCUCUUCCUUCCCUCGGCAUUAACUUUUCCCUCUCCUAACUUUAACCUGCCUCAUAUCUUGCCUCUUACAGAUAUCCCCCCGCCGCUGCAGCCUUCCUUCAGGCUUACGUGGCUCCUUCUUCUUGUAAUUCUAGCACAUUAGUUUUAAAGAAUGUCAACCCCAGAUGAUAAAACGCACACGCGUACACACACACACAAGCUAAUCAAGAUUCUCAGAUAGAUAACACUGUCCAUGUGUGUCUUGUCACUCCUGUUUUACUUUUGUACUUAUUU